GGAGAGAUGACCGAGCGGCCGAAGGUGCACGAUUGGAAAUCGUGUGUGCUCUAAAGGCACCGAGGGUUCAAAUCCCUCUCUCUCCG
This 86-nucleotide transfer RNA is filed under the name Spirochaetaceae bacterium. RNAcentral describes it as "tRNA-Ser". It matches the Rfam family "tRNA". From Rfam's summary of the family: Transfer RNA (tRNA) molecules are approximately 80 nucleotides in length. Their secondary structure includes four short double-helical elements and three loops (D, anti-codon, and T loops). The record is from RNAcentral. Lineage: Bacteria; Pseudomonadati; Spirochaetota; Spirochaetia; Spirochaetales; Spirochaetaceae.